GAUGAACGCUGGCGGCGUGCCUAAUACAUGCAAGUCGAGCGAACAGACGAGGAGCUUGCUCCUCUGACGUUAGCGGCGGACGGGUGAGUAACACGUGGAUAACCUACCUAUAAGACUGGGAUAACUUCGGGAAACCGGAGCUAAUACCGGAUAAUAUAUUGAACCGCAUGGUUCAAUAGUGAAAGACGGUUUUGCUGUCACUUAUAGAUGGAUCCGCGCCGCAUUAGCUAGUUGGUAAGGUAACGGCUUACCAAGGCAACGAUGCGUAGCCGACCUGAGAGGGUGAUCCGCCACACUGGAACUGAGACAAGGUCCAGAAUCCUAAGGGAGGCAGGAGUAGGGAAACUUCCGCAAUGGGCGAAAGCCUGAAGGAGCAAAGCCGCGUGAGGGAUGAAGGGUUUCGGAUCGUAAAACUCUGUUAAUAGGGAAGAACAAAUGUGGAAGUAACUAUGCACGGCUUGAAGGUACCUAAUCAGAAAGCCACGGCUAACUACGUG
RNAcentral lists this ribosomal RNA (497 nucleotides) under uncultured bacterium. RNAcentral describes it as "partial 16S ribosomal RNA". It matches the Rfam family "Bacterial small subunit ribosomal RNA", at positions 28 to 507 of the family's 1533-position model. The record is from RNAcentral.